CCUGCCUGCUGGGCCUUGGCUGUGGCCCCCGGCUAGACGGUGCCAUCAGGAGGAAGAGCGCUGGGCUAGACUGGCCCAAGGUCUGCUCCCUGCCCCCACGGGCCUGGUUCCCACUCAGGCCCUUGUAGCAGGAGGGACGAUUCCUUCCACAAAACCAGUGUGGCAAGAGCACAUCGCCAGGAUUUGGGAGACGGAAGGCCCUGGAGGAUCACCAAGAGCCCAGGUUCCGUGUGCCGGGCGCGUGGGCCUCAGGCAAUGGUGCGUGGAGGAGGGAUGUUUAAGACGUCGGCUCCCUGGGAGGUCCCCAAGUCAACUGGCAGUGCCCCUGGGAAGGAGUGAGAGUUCCCAGUCUCUAUGGUUCCCUGUUUGGUGAUGUAAGCUCUUCGCCUCAUACAUGCUCCUGUCCUCCACCAUGAGUUCCUCACCAGAGCCAAGCUGAUGCCAACAGCGUAUCCUCAAAUCUCCAUGACCUACAUAAGCCUUUUUUCCCUUUUUAAAGACAGCCUGCCUUGGGUAUUUUGUUAUGGU
Ictidomys tridecemlineatus (thirteen-lined ground squirrel) is the source of this 528-nucleotide long non-coding RNA. RefSeq lists it as uncharacterized. The record is from RefSeq and is a predicted model, not a curated record. NCBI's taxonomy places the organism in Eukaryota, Metazoa, Chordata, Mammalia, Rodentia, Sciuridae.